GCUCUAAUGAGAGCCACACAGUCUGCUCUGUAUUUCUACUGUAAAUGAACAGCCUCUCACUGAGCGCAGCCUGGCUCUGCUGAAGUCGAUGGGGGUUCCUUUGACCUCCACAGCAUUUGAGUGUCAACCUGUUCCUCAAAUGAGUGUCAGAAAGUUCCCAGUGACAGCAGCUAAAGCCUUGGCAUUUGGCUAAAUGUGUGUGCAAAGCUGGUACUACUGGUGAUGCAGCCAGCUCUACUUACAUGAUGAGGGCAGAUCACAGGGGAAUAGUAUCCGAAAGCUUUUCUCACAAAUCCUUUGGGGAAGACAGGAUGCUGAUGCAGCAGGCCAACAUAUAUACUGUUUUAUCUUCUAUCAGGAAGUGCACACUUUACAACACGUUGCAAUAGAGCAACAGGGUUAUGAAUAUUCCACUACAUGGUGUAUGUUAAAUAACAGCAUCCGGACUUUACUGAGUUUAUUUUAUAACUGAAAGCACUUGGUAAUAUCUUCAAUAAAAAGGCACAAAAAUACUGCUGCAUAAUUCAGUGAGAAUUGCCUUGGCAGCUGUGUUCUGUUUCCUGAGACUUUUGAUAAUUGAGAGCUACUAAUAAUAAUCUGACCAUGGUUUUGUAAAAGAACCAGAAUCUGGAAAAGCAUGCACGUUUUGCGAACAGCAGCAUUAAUUACGGGUUAUUAAACGGAAGGGAAGAAUUUCACUCAGUCAUGGCUUUGAUUGACCUGUCAGUAUCUGCUCAGAAGAAACAAGAGAUCACAUUCUUCAUUUCUCUGUAAGUUAUUAGUUUCAAAUAUAUUUUUAUUCUUGUAUGAAUUACAAUAGAUACAUCUGAAAAUGAGAGCAUUGUAUUUCAUCCUAAUUGCCUGAGAGCUACACUUGUCCGGGGCCGGCAUGGCAUAUUGGAUGAUGACACUCGACAGUGAGUCAAGUGCAAGGGCUGCUUUUAUGUUUCUGGGAAGAAGAUCACUUCAGCCUCUUCUAUCUGUUUAUUUAUGUAGAUUGUAAACUCCUCAGGAGCAAGGCCAGUUCUGUUACUAUUAUUACUGUCCUCAGAGUAAACAGGCUGUAAAAUAAGAUCAUGUUAAAGCUGACAAUCUUCCUCCUGUUAUCUGCAUCCCUCUCAUAUAUUCUCCCCCAUACCCUUCAGCUUUUCCUAAGCUAGCAACAAGUAACAAACUUUAGAUGUAUUAUUACGUAGGCUGCAAUAUAUAAACUACUUCAUACGCAAGUUGGCGUGGAGCAGGAUUAGGGAUCCUGUUAUGACCUUCAGCUGUACCUUUUGCAGGGCUGAGGCUGCUAAAAUCUCUGCCAAACUGCUGUGGGCCACUGAACCUGCCUAGCAGUAGGUGUUGAGAUUCUUCUUCCACCCUUCUGCCAGAAUUAAUGGUCCACUUUUCUGAU
Molecule: long non-coding RNA, 1399 nt
Organism: Cygnus atratus (black swan)
Lineage: Eukaryota; Metazoa; Chordata; Aves; Anseriformes; Anatidae
Exons: 4
Source: RefSeq, a predicted model, not a curated record